RNAcentral lists this long non-coding RNA (12382 nucleotides) under Podarcis lilfordi (Lilford's wall lizard). The record is from RNAcentral. Lineage: Eukaryota; Metazoa; Chordata; Lepidosauria; Squamata; Lacertidae.
CCUGAGAAAGGGAUGUCUGUCAGUUUGAUGGUGAUACACUUGCCAAGGCCCGUGGUGCCCAUAAGCGAUAAUGAGCAGGAACUGUGAAGGUAAGAGGUCCUCAGAUGCCAGAUUAUUGAACUGGGGGGGGGGGACCCCAUGCAUUGGAAAUUGAAAACCAGGAGGGUGUUGUGUGUCAAAGGAUUGUGCCUUGACUUCAAGGGGAACGCUGGGGAGAUGGGUUUUGCUCAUGCUCAAGUGCUAAGAGAUUGCCACACUGGUUUUCCCACAUAUUGGAGGACAGGAAGGCCUUGGGAAUUGCAUAAAUGAAUCCUGCUAUUUCCUACCAACCAAUCCCAUUUUAAAAAAUAUUAAACAAAUCUCACACCCAACCAAUUAAUUAAGCCUGUGUUUUUCAGUGGAAAUUUUAGGGCCAGAGUCAAUUGAAUGGUCAUGCUAGUAGGAACCUGUACAAUGAUUCCCACUAGCGUUCUCCUCUCCUUCCCACACCCAACUGCCAUUUGCUCCAGUUGAGUGCUAAAGAGCAGCUUUCCCAGGGGAUGGGGAGCAGCCAGGUGAAGUGGAAGUGCAGAGAAGCUCCCCGCUACCUCUUCCCCAUUUUGAAGUGGGUGAAAAGAGCUCAGAAACGGUCCUUGCCAAUUCAGUACAGUCCUAAUAGUUUUUUAAAAUUAAAUUUGAAAAUGGAAAGCGUAAUGGGGUGGUCAACAAAAGAGGUUGAAAGACUCUCUCAAGGCAAAUCUAAAAAAAAUGUAGUAUAAACGCCAACACCUGGGAAACACUGGCCUGUGAGCGCUCCAGUCGGAGAACAGCCUUUACCAAAGGUGUCAUAGGCUUUGAAGACACUCAAACUCAGGACGCAAGGGAGUAACGUGCUAAGAGGAAGGCACACUUGGCAAACCCUCACCGUGAUCAACUCCUGCCCAGAAACCUAUGUCCCCACUGUGGAAGGACGUGUAGAUCCAGAAUUGGCCUCCACAGUCACUUACGGACUCACUGUUAUGACUGUGUUCAUGGAAGACCAUCUUACUUGGCUAUGAGUGAUCGCCAAAGAAGAGUAGUUUAGGGAUAUCAUUCAUGUAAUUGAAUUUCAGGACUUAAUUUGAGCCAAGUUUGCCAAUACUGCUCUGUCCUAAAACAUAGGAAGUAGCCAAACUUGAAUGCUCCAUUUAUUCACCACCACUGUUCACACAUCUAAAAACAUGUGUCAGAAUCCAUGGGUACGCAGACAGCCUUGGGCCUUCUGCAAUGUUUCCCUGUCCAUUAAGUCUUUCAUAUUUGGUCUUUAUGAUUGCAGUUCCUCUGUUGGCCAAUAUCCCAGACCACAAUACUCCACCACACAUACCCCCAGUGAGGCAAUCCUGUUUUCUUUUUCUCAUUUCUCUGACAGCCAGCAGAGUGUGUGACUCACAAACGGAACUGGAUUUACCCCUUUAAUGAUUCAUUCCUUUUGGGGGAAGAAAUUGUGUUUCUAUGGAGGGCCUUGAUCCAGCAUCCCCUUUCUGGCGUUGUUAGUGUCAAGAAGGCAUCCUCAGAGGUCAGACUGUUGGCAGCACAAACGGAUCGAACUUACCGUUUGUUAUGAUUCAUCCACCCCCUUAAACAUAAAAUAAGGAGUUUUACUGGAAAGCUCAACACUGCUAAGAAAGGGCAGUUUUUCAAAAUUCUAAAAAUACUAACUGCACCAUCCAGGGUCCUCUUCUUGCUGCUGGAUUCUGGUCCUGGAAAACAGGGUUGUUUUAUUUGUUCUGUGCAUUUCACGGGGAUUUUUAUUACAGAUGUUGCACCUCUGGUGCCCUACGAACAGGUAAGGGCAGUCUAGUCUUUAUAGACAAGACAACGGCUACUUUCUCUCCUUGGAACUUUCUGGUGCUUUUUCCACCACAGUGUGAACCCUACCAAUCCCUCUGGCAGCAUAAGAGAAUGCCUUCCUGGCUUGGUCUAUGUUAAGUUGUGGGUGAACAUAUCAGAUGACACAGCGAUUCUUCAAACAGCUCUUCUUUAUUCAGAGGCCACAACAGAACUGAAAUGAAGGGCUCAGUCAGCCUGCUUAUAUAGAGCUCCAGUACAAUGUUACUGUAGCAACUUUCUAAAACUAUCCAAUCACUGAACGUCACUUUCGAUCCUUCAUUUGCAUAACUAUCUACAGUAUCCCCCUGCUGGCCCAGGGUAAGAACUUCAGUACAUAACAGUCUAUAUACAGGUAACUCACUCAUUUAAGAUUUUUUUAUUUAUGAUGUAAAAAUGGCAUGCAUGGGUGGUGGGGGGAGGAUAAAAUUGUGAAAAUGUGAGGGAGGUGGUGGUAGAGCAGGAGAAAACAGGCAGCAGCCCAAGAAGUGAAGAAGAAGAAGAAGAAGAAGAAGAAGAAGAAGAAGAAGAAGAAGAAGAAGAGGAGUUGUUGUUUGGAUUUGAUAUCCCGCUUUAUCACUACCCGAAGGAGUCUCAAAGCUGCUAACAUUCUCCUUUCCCUUCCUCCCCCACAACAAACACUCUGUGAGGUGAGUGGGGCUGAGAGACUUCAAAGAAGUGUAACUAGCCCAAGGUUACCCAGCAGCUGCAUGUGGAGGAGCGGGGAUGCGAACCCGGUUCACCAGAUUACGAGUCCACCGCUCUUAACCACUACACCACACUGGCUCUCAAGCCUUCCUUAGAGUGUUUAGGUGAGGAAGAGGCAGUUGGUGAGGACGAUUGGAGGAGGCAGAGAGAUUUGUAGAGUGGAAGAGCUCAUUGAGGGCCAACAGACUGUUGAAGCAUUGGAGGGACUGGUUAGAUCAGGUUCAGGAUGCAAGGAUUGACGGUGCUGGCAUGAGCCAGCAAGCUAGAACAACUCCUCCAAGUCGCAUAGCACGCAAACGAUCCGUUUGCAGACUUUGAACCCCUCCAUAGAACGCAGCCUCAAGAUCAUCCAUGGGAUUGCAGACCCCCCGAGACGUAUCAUGAAAUAUAUAAGGAGCUCAAGAGGCAACAGCAUCUGCCAACCACUGUAUUCCUCACCAAGAAAACCACCAGCGGCAGGCAUUAGUUGUUCCCCACCUCUGGAUCUGUACCACAGCCAAGCACUUCUUCCAGCUACUGGUCAACCCCGUCGGUCUUUAUAUCAUCUGAAGCAUCAUCCGGCGAGGGAGAGGAGGAGAAAGAGGAGGAAAACUAAGAGCCGCAUUCAUCUGCAAUUUUCUACGUGGUUUUUAAAUGGUAUUCUAGGGGUCAGUCCGACUUUACGCGAUUUUGCUUAUAUGCAUGGUGGCCAGAACCUAACCACCACUGUCAGGGACUGGGCAGAAGAGGGAUGGUGGAGAGCACCUCCCCAGCCUGAGCCUUCCAGAGAAGAAGAAGACAGUUCAGAAUUACAACAGGGGUUUGAGGGAGGUCACAGCUCAGGGGAAGAUGAGGGGGAAAGUUGGGAAAUAAUGGGAGAGGAGGAGGAGGAGGAGGCAGAGCUGGAGCAGCUGGCUGACACUUUAUCACUAGAAAGCCUUCCAAACCCUCCAUCUCCCAGAACCUGGCGAGCCUAGAAAGUAUGAGAGCAAAGAGCUCAAAGACAGAGGGCACAUAGCAGCACCCGUAGAAGUGACGAAUGUGGGAUAGAUGGGAGUGGGGGUGGAGAUUCACUCGGGACAAUGCCAUUAUCCAAGAGGCUGCAUUCUCAAGCCUCUCUCUGUAAAUAUUGAACAAAAAGCAGAUUGUAAGGACUUUUCCUUGUCUUCUCCGUUCCUGGAGGUUGGUUCCUCUGCUGCCUGACACUCAUAUCAGAUGCGAGUUACCUUUAUUAGAACAGAAUUACAUAAAUCCAUAGCUAAAACUAUAUAGACCUUUCCAGACAAACAAAGCCAUUGUUGGCCUUUACCUGUAGCACCAGUCCCAUUAUCGUGGAAUACCUAAAGGGGAAUAGCCUUGUUGCAGUGGGUGGUUGCUUUGGGCAAGGUAUAUGUGCAAAUAUUGUUGCAUACUCCACGACUAGCUGGGAAACGGGCAUAUCAGAUUGCAGCCUGAAUCAUAUCCUGUUAGAUCAUCCCCGCUUCCCUUACUGGUGGAAAGUUCCAGGACAGUAUUGCUGGGGUUCUUCCAUUUGAAGCAAUUUAAACUUAGGAUGUCUUUGUAACGUUUGGCUUAUUUGCAAAUAUACAAAGCAGAGUGAAAGUUGGACCACAUACACUCUGCAGUAGGUAGCAAAUCUGUUGACCCAUAAUAAUGAAAUGUGUAAAGAUGCUUGAGGAAUUCAGCUUCUUUGAAUUCAAACAUGAACCAUCCUCUCAGACUAAUUUGUGGUUGAGAACUUAAUUAUCCGUUGGCAUUCACACUUCCAUUGACAGUUCUUCCACUGACAGUUCUCAACUGAAAAAAAACACAUGAAAAGGCACUUGCUUUUUUCUUUUCAACGUAAAUACUUUUAGAAGUGCAUAUUUUGAGAGAAAAUACACUUAAAAUUCAUAUUAACAUACAUAUUUAAAUAUACAUUUUCAUGUACUAAGAUGGGCAGAAAGAGAGUGAGCAGACUUAAAAGCGACAUGGAUCAAAAAUCCCCAAAACCGUGUUUCCUGCUUACAAUGUAAACCUUCUGUGAAUUGAUGUUUAGGGAAUACAUCAACAUAAAAUUUCCAUGCUUUUUUAUGCAUGACUAAAGUCAUGAGUGUCUUAAUUUUUUUCCUGUUUAAAAAGUGACCCCUCCCCCAUCCUGGAAUCUAUUUUACACUCCUAAGUACAGUACGCGGGUGGUGCCGUGGGUUAAACCAUAGAGCCUAGGACUUGCUGAUCAGAAGGUCAGUGGUUCGAAUCCCCGCAAUGGGGUGAGCUCCCAUUGCUCAGUCCCUGUUCCUGCCAACCUAGCAGUUCGAAAGCACGUCAAAGUGCAAGUAGAUAAAUAGGUACCGCUCCAGUGGGAAGGUAAACGGCGUUUCCAUGUGCUGCUCUGGUUCGCCAGAAGCGGCUUAGUCAUACUGGCCACAUGACCCGGAAGCUGUACGCUGGCUCCCUCAGCCAAUAAAGCGAGAUGAGCACCGCAACCCCAGAGUCGGCCACGACUGGACCUAAUGGUCAGGGGUCCCUUUACCUUUAAGUACAGUACAGUUCAGCGCUAACCUUGGUCAAAUAGUGGUGGUGGUGCUCAGUGGGAUCUGAAUAGAAAAAGCACCCAACUUUUCAUACAUCAACGACAACUCCAGUUCUAGCUUUCUGCUAUUUGGGUGCAGGGGCAUGUUGGCUUGUUGCCGUCAAAAUGAGCUCACUUUGAAACUCCAGUUCCUUGUUUGAUCUCUUAUUUGUGUUGCUUGACUACUGUCAGUCCUAGCAGGGCUGUCUUUACCCAGGGGUACAAGGGGUGCGGGGCACCCAGGCGCCAAAUUCUGGGGGGCGCCAGGCACCUGCCGCUGAAGCUGCCUAAGCUCUUAACCAGGAGUAAGCAAACUAAGGCCCGGGGGCUGGAUCUGGCCCAAUCGCCUUCUAAAUCCGGCCUGCGGACGGUCUGGGAAUCAGCAUGUUUUUACAUGAGUAGACUGUGUGCUUUUAUUUAAAAUGCAUCUCUGGGUUAUUUGUGGGGCAUAGGAAUUUGUUCAUUUUUUUUCUUCAAAUAUAGUCCAGCCCCCCACAAGGUCUGAGGGACAGUGGGCCGGCCCCCUGCUGAAAAAGUUUGCUGACCCCUGCUCUUAACUAUCUACCUGUUAUGAAAUAAGAAAUAGUUUUUAUCAAGCUAGAAAAACAAAAUACAUAUAUACCUAUGUAUUACCAAAACGUAUACCUUCUGUUUCACUAAAGGACUUUCGACUUUGUGCACUCAUUUACCAAAGAUGCGCUGUACCAGCGACGGCACUUGUCAUUUACAACAGUGGCGCUUGUCAUUCACAAUGGCGCCGAGCACGCGAAAUUAACUCUUACAUCAAAAUAUUAUAUUACAUAUUGUAUUGAGCUGCUAUGCGGCAGCGGGGUCAGUGACACCCUUGACAUGACUGAUGUUUCUCCUAAGUAGGUGCCUAAACAAUACUUGUAAGUUUAAGUGUAGUGGUGUUGUAUACUUAAGUAUAAGUGUAUUGUAAAUAAAUGAGCAAAUAAAAAAGUUUGUUUCUUUUUCCUCCCUUCUUUCGUAGACAAGAGAUAAGGCGUAAGCGUGGUGUCUGACAUAAGCAUAAUAAAAGUUAAUUGGGGGGCUAAACUAAAUUUGGGGGUGCUGGGUGGAUCUUUGCACCCAGUGGCGCAUAUGCGAAAGACAGAUGUUUGUGUGGAUGCCUGAUUAUCGUCUUCCAAAGCAACUACUCUAUUCCGAACUGGAAUGGAAAGCGUAAUGCUGGUGGUCAACAAAAGAGGUUUAAGGACUCUCUCAAGGCAAAUCUUUAAAAAUGUAGUAUAAACACUGACAACUGGGAAACACUAGCCUGUGAGCGCCCCAAUUGGAGAACAGCCUUUACCAAAGGUGUCAUGGGCUUAGAAGACACUCAAACUCAGGACGCAAGGGAGAAACGCGCUAAGAGGAAGGCAUGCUUGGCAAACCCUCACCGUGAUCAACUCCCACCCAGAAACCUAUGUCCCACUGUGGAAGGACAUGUGGAUCCAGAAUUGGCCUCCACAGUCACUUACAGACUCACUGUUAAGACCAUGUUCAUGGAAGACAAUCUUACUCAGCUACGAGGGAUCGCCAAAGAAGAAAAAGACCUGGAUCCCAGUGGCAGCAAUGCUUAUACUAUAGCAAUGAUUCGAGGGGGGCUUCUCUGAAGUUUCUCGUUUGAGAACUCGCUUGGCUGGGGUGGGAGAGAAGCAGAGGGAGAAAAAUCACAUCUGGCUGGCUCUUAUCCCAGAUAAAUUCUCUCCCCUUCAUUCAUGUUUCCUGUGGCUUCGGGACAAUCAAACUAAGGAAUGUUUCCAUGAACGUACCUUUCAGAAGGCACAGUAUGUGAGCGAUAUGCCCCAAGAGCACCCCACUGCUUCUUCCUUUCCUCGGCUUCUACGCUCUGCAAGGCUUUCUCCAGCAAUUACGUAAAACACUGUCAACAUCCUGGCAAGCCUCAGCCCCUGGCAAGAUCAAAGGCCCUGAUGUGCCAGUCCUUGAAAGUGAGGAAAAACAAGAAGCACGGUUAUCUAUCUAGGAGUGCCAACCUUCACACACAGCUCUGCAACUUAAAAGACUGAAAGGAGAGCCGUAUUGUGAAGAAGAAUAUAUUCUUAAUAUGGCUGUUCAGUAUUAUUAUUUGCUAAUAAUAAUAACAAUAAUAAUAAUAAUAACUUUAUUAUUUAUGCCCCGCCCAUCUGGCUGGGUUUUCCCAGUCACUCUGGGUGGCUUACAACACAUAAAAAAAUUGUAAAACAUUAGACAUUAAAAAUUUCCCAAUACAGGGUUGCCUCCAGAUGUCUUCUAAAAGUCAGGUAGUUGUUUAUUUCCUUGACAUCUGAUGGGAGGGCAUUCCACAGGGCGGGCGCCACUACUGAGAAGGCCCUCUGCCUGGUUCCCUGUAACUUCACCUCUUAUAGUGAGGGAACCGCCAGAAGGCCCUCGGAGCUGGACCUCAGUGUCCAGGCUGAACAAUGUGGAGAUGCUCCUUCAGGUAUAUUGGGCCAAGGCCGUUUAGGGCUUUAAAGGUCAGCACCAACACUUUGAAUUGUGCUCAGAAACAUACUGGGAGCCAAUGGAGGUCUUUCAGGACCGGUGUUAUAUGGUCCCAGCGGCCACUCCCAGUCCCCAGUCUAGCUGCCACAUUCUGGAUUAGUUGUAGUUUCCGGGUCACCUUCAAAGGUAGCCCCACAUAGAGCGCAUUGCAGUAGUCCAAGCGAGAGAUAACCAGAGCAUGCACCACUCUGCCCAGACAGUCUGCGAGCCAGAUGGAGCUAUAGACAGAAAAGCAGGGAGAGGAGUUAAAUGUUCACAUUUGAUACCAGAAGGACAAAUCAUUGCAGUUUAAUCCUUGUGGACAGCCUCAUUCCCCCACCCCAAGGUGUAACGGGACAGCAGAUCACAGCUUGGGGAGCAGCUAUAGUUGAGACAGCACAUACUUUGAAUGCAGAAGAUCCAGGUUACAGGUUGUUGUUGUUUAGUCGUUUAGUCAUUUAGUCGUGUCCGACUCUUCGUGACCCCAUGGACCAGAGCACGCCAGGCACUUCUGUCUUCCACUGCCUCCUGCAGUUUGGUCAAACUCAUGCUGGUAGCUUCGAGAACACUAUCCAACCAUCUCGUCCUCUGUUGUCCCCUUCUCCUUGUUUCCCAACAUCAGGGUUUUUUCCAGAGAGUCUUCUCUUCUCAUGAGGUGGCUGAAGUAUUGGAGCCUCAGCUUCAGUGAGCACUCAGGGCUGAUUUCCUUCAGAAUGGAUAGGUUUGAUCUUCUUGCAGUCCAUGGGACUCUCAAGAGUCUCCUCCAGCAUCAUAAUUCAAAAGCAUCAAUUCUUCGGUGAUCAGCCUUCUUUAUGGUCCAGCUUUCACUUCCAUACAUCACUAAUGGGAAAACCAUAGCUUUUGCUAUACGGACCUUUGUUGGCAAGGUGGUGUCUCUAGGUUACAGGUACCUGACAGGAUUAGGAGAGGCCAGGCAUACAAUAUCUGUGGAGCAUGCACAUUGAACACCCCCUAUGCAGUCCAUCCAAAUGCCAAAACAGAUCUGCCUACACAACACUGUUUCUUUCCCUAUUUUUAUGCGAAUGAUUAUUUGCUCAUAAAUGCCAACAGGGUAUAAAAAUAACCAUUGCCAACUAAGCCUACGAGGACUGAUUUUUUAUUUAUUUUUUGCACGUGCAGCCAUGCUACAUUUAUUCCCCACAAAAAAAAUAUUAUUUUACUCUAAUUGGAACCCUGUUUCUCAUCUGUGACUAAGCCCUUCUAAUUUUUAGCACCGAAUAGUUCAAAUUCUGGCAUAGGAUAAAGGAUACCAUUUCAGUGCAUUAUGCCUCCAGAAGAAAAUGGGUUCCCUUUUUUGUUCAUUUUAAAUCAAUGGUAAAACAAUAACAACAGCAGCCAAGGCGACAUUUUUCCACCUUCGCCGCAUCAAGCAUUUGGUCCCUUACUUUUCCCGCCCCGACCUGGCCACAGUGAUCCAUGCGACGGUCACCUCCAGGCUUGACUACUGUAAUUCGCUCUAUGCGGGGCUGCCCUUGAAGCUGUCCCAGAAACGCCAGUGGGUGCAGAAUGCUUCAGUGAGGCUCCUCACAGGGUCCCUGCCAUCGGAGCAUAUUCACCCAGUGCUUUACCAGUUGCACUGGCUCCCGGUGGAGUACAGGGUCAGAUUUAAGGUGCUGGUUUUGACUUUUAAAGCCCUUCAUGGCCUAGGACCCUCGUACCUACGGGACCGCCUCUCCUGUUAUGCCCCACGGAGGACCUUAAGGUCCAUAAAUAGCAGCACCCUAGAGGUCCCAGGCCCUAAGGAAGUUAGAUUAGCCUCAACCAGAGCCAGGGCCUUCUCAACACUGGCUCCGGCUUGGUGGAACGUUCUGCCUCAUGAGACCAGGGCCCUGCAGGAUCUGAUCUCUUUCCGCAGGGCCUGUAAGACAGAGUUGUUCCACCUGGCCUUUGGCUCAGAAUCAGUUUGAUUCCCUCCCCCUCUUUCUUUUUCCUUUCUCCUCCUAUGAAGAGAUUGUUCCCUAAUUGUUUUAAUGUUGUAUCUUAAUUCUUUUAAAUUGUAUUUUAAUCAACUUGUUUUUAUUAUUGGUUGUUAGCUGCCCUGAGCCCGGUCUUGGCUGGGGAGGGCAGGGUAUAAAUAAAAAAUUAUUUAUUUAUUUAUUAUUAUUAUUAUUAUUAUUAUUAUUAGGCAGAGGCAUUAAGGUAAAACAUUGUGGUGAAGUCAACUGACAAAGUCACCUUGGUGGGAUAUGGAGAUGAACGCCAAAUUCACACACCAAGAGGCCCAAUUUACACAUUUGGGGUUCAUUGAAUAGAACCUGGGGUCAUCUAGACAGUGUAAAAAAUGGAAGCACCAGGGUAGCAUAAGUAAAGGUAAAGGACCCCUGGAUGGUUAAGUCCAGUCAAAGGUGACUAUGGGAUUGUGGCGCUCAUCUUGCUUCAGACCGAGGGAGCCGGGGUUUGUCCACAGACAGUUUUCUGGGUCAUGUGGCCAGCAGGACCAAACCGCUUCUGGCACAACAGAAUACCGUGAUGGAAACCAGAGUGCACAGAAAUGCUGUUUACCCUCCUGCCACUGUGGUGCCUAUUUAUCUACUUGCACUGGCGUGCUUUCGAACUACUAGGUAGGCAGGAGCUGGGACAGAGCAACAGGAGCUCAGUCGCGGGGAUUCGAACCGCCAAGCUUCUGAUCAGCAAGCCCAAGAGGCUCCUUGGUUUAGACCACAGCGCCACCCGCGUCCCAUAAGUGCGUAAGUGGACAGUGCUGGACUUGGAUGUUGGAAAUCUGGAUAACCCUGGGCUAGUAUCUCUCCGUCUUACCUCAAAAGGCUGUUAUGAUGCCAGAGUGGGACACCCCAAGUGUACUGCCUAAUAAUGUAGUUCUGCCAGUGCCACCAGACUGGUGAGCCCAUCUAACUGGUUUUCACUUUCUGGUACCAGAAAUCUCCUGGUUGCGGGGACAGCUGCCAUUUGUAUGUGACGUUUUCCAUCACCCCAGGUUCACACUGCAGUUUCAACUGGGACCCCAUGCGAUGCUACAGCCAUUUUCACAAGAUUGUGAACAACUAUGGACCAAGACUUCCAGGAAAUAGACCUGAAAUAGACCAGAAACAAGGAGGAGAUUUUGCUCUGCUGAUGAGGAAAAUGGAAGGUUCCUCGCAUUUAUAUCAGGUCCGCUCAGUGCAGAGGUCUCAUACUGCUCACGGUUCCAAGAGAUGAGAAUGGACAUCUUUAUUCACUUCUAUGCCCAAAAAGAGGUCUCUCGGUAUAUUAGGGACUCAGCAACAUUCGUCAAAAAACUACAUUUUGAAUGUGUUAUAAACAUACAACGCCAGAUGGCGCCAGAGAGCAAAAAAGUUUUCUAUGAGGUUUUUACAUAGCGUUUUCUCUCUCUUUUGUUAUAACAAUUUAAUUUCUGGCUUAUUUGUAGCUUUUUUCGCCCUGUGUGUAGAUCCACCCACAGUCAAACAGAUCGCUCGGGGAAGUCCCUACCUCAGACUAUACAGAUUCUGUUUCUAAUCCUAGAUCCCAUGACACCUCAAGGCGAAACCGUACACCACAAACAGAGUUCAGUAUAAUUUUUACCUGCUCAAUUUUUUUUUUAAAUGAAAAGCAGUCACUGCUAGGGUUGCCAUAUUCCCAAAACUGAAAAUCUGGACAAAGUUGCUUUUUUUUUUUACUUUUGCUUUUUUCUUUUUUAGUUGUUGAGCUUUUUCUAUGGAUUUUUUAAAAAAAUAAAAAAAUUACCUCCCCCCACCCCAAUACCAUACGUCCAGGUUUUCCCGGACAUUUUGCAGAUUUGGCAAAAAUCUGCCCAGACGUCAUUCUGCUGCCCAAAUCCUGGUUGUGUCUGGGGAAAUCCAGAUGUAUGCAGCCCUAGUACUCAGAAAUCAAAGAAUAGUCAGUGAACUGCCCUCUUUUCGGUGAACCGCCCUGAGACCUCUGUGUAUAGGGUGCUUUGUAAAUUCAGUAAAUAAUAAUAGUACAAUUAAACUGCCCUCAACUUUUCCCCCUGCCCCCCCUUUCCCCUCUCAAAACUGCUGUCCUCAAACUGCUUUUCUCCCCAUGCGGGUAAAUGCACAGAAACCGAUAUGUUUUCCUCUCUGAGGGAAAAAGCAGCUUUAAGUGACAGCUUUAAGAGACUCUCUUGGUUGUGAGUCGUGGAAGACCUGCUCCCUGCUUUGCUGGCCCGGAAGACAAGGCCUUGACUGACUUCAGUCACAAAACCCGAGGCUGCUGUUUAGGGGUUUGUGUCGUUAUUGAUAUUCACUUUUUACAUCUUUAUUUUUAUUAUGAUUUAAUGCUCUAAUGGUUAAUUUGGUUGUGUAUUUUUUUUUAUGCGUUUUAUUAUUGUGUGUGACCAUUUUUAUUAUAUUUAUUUGUAAUUAUGUGGUGUGUUUUUUCAUGUUGUAAGCUGCCUCGAGUGUGGCAUGAACUAUGGAAAGGCGGCAUACAAGUAAAAUGAUUUAUGAUUUAUGCAUUCUGUAUAAUGAUAGGUAAAUGGUCGGCAGGGAAAGGGUUAAGCACCCCCUCCCCACCCCCUCUUUUUUCCUUCCUGAUUGCAACAGCUGUUUUUCAUAUUAAACAAGCAAACAAAAAAAUAUGACUUUUUUUUUGAAGAACAUUUGUUGACAGCCUAAUCAGCAAAAGUCCUCUGGGCAGUUGCAACAGAGUAAAAAAAAUAUACAAUUAAAACGUUACAAUAUUAAAACAUUAAUUAAAACGUUAAAACUCAAUCCAUUUCCUGCCUAAAAACCAGUGUAUGCAGCUAAGAGCUUUUAAAAUGCAGCUUAGACAAUAUGUCCCAAGAGCAAAAAAAAAACCCCAUAGUUUUAAAAGGUAAGGUAAAGGUAAAGGGAC